Molecule: ribosomal RNA, 492 nt
Filed under: uncultured bacterium
Lineage: Bacteria
Description: partial 16S ribosomal RNA
Rfam family: Bacterial small subunit ribosomal RNA
Source: RNAcentral
AGUGAACGCUGGCGGUAGGCCUAACACAUGCAAGUCGAACGGCAGCACAGUAAGAGCUUGCUCUUACGGGUGGCGAGUGGCGGACGGGUGAGGAAUACAUCGGAAUCUACUUUUUCGUGGGGGAUAACGUAGGGAAACUUACGCUAAUACCGCAUACGACCUGCGGGUGAAAGCAGGGGAUCUUCGGACCUUGCGCGAUUGAAUGAGCCGAUGUCGGAUUAGCUAGUUGGCGGGGUAAAGGCCCACCAAGGCGACGAUCCGUAGCUGGUCUGAGAGGAUGAUCAGCCACACUGGAACUGAGACACGGUCCAGACUCCUGCGGGAGGCAGCAGUGGGGAAUAUUGGACAAUGGGCGCAAGCCUGAUCCAGCCAUACCGCGUGGGUGAAGAAGGCCUUCGGGUUGUAAAGCCCUUUUGUUGGGAAAGAAAAGCAGCAGGUUAAUACCCCGCUGUUCUGACGGUACCCAAAGAAUAAGCACCGGCUAACUUCGUG